Molecule: long non-coding RNA, 308 nt
Filed under: Felis catus (domestic cat)
Lineage: Eukaryota; Metazoa; Chordata; Mammalia; Carnivora; Felidae
Description: lncRNA (ENSFCAG00000051563.1)
Source: RNAcentral
ACGCUGGGCUUGGGUGUCAGUGCUUGUCUCCAUAUAGAUAGUCACUUCUUGAAAGCCGCAAACGCCAUCAAGAUAAUCUAAAUACGACCACAGCCUAACUACAUACACAAGGGGCCCCGAGUCAAAGCUUCUCUGGUAGAAGAGAGAUCAGUUUCAGAGAGCGGUGAAUGCCUAGGGAAGACUUGGAAACGAGAGAGUAAAUACUUCCAAGAAGUUUCACUUUGAAGAGGAAGAGAAAGCAGGGUCUGCAACUACGGAGGAAUAAGGGAGCCAAGCUUGGCUUCAUUUUUCCCUGUUAUAAAUGGACU